AUUGAACGCUGGCGGCAUGCCUUACACAUGCAAGUCGAACGGUAACAGGUCUUCGGAUGCUGACGAGUGGCGAACGGGUGAGUAAUACAUCGGAACGUGCCUAGUAGUGGGGGAUAACUACUCGAAAGAGUAGCUAAUACCGCAUGAGAUCUACGGAUGAAAGCAGGGGAUCGCAAGACCUUGUGCUACUAGAGCGGCUGAUGGCAGAUUAGGUAGUUGGUGGGAUAAAAGCUUACCAAGCCGACGAUCUGUAGCUGGUCUGAGAGGACGAUCAGCCACACUGGGACUGAGACACGGCCCAGACUCCUACGGGAGGCAGCAGUGGGGAAUUUUGGACAAUGGGCGAAAGCCUGAUCCAGCAAUGCCGCGUGCAGGAUGAAGGCCUUCGGGUUGUAAACUGCUUUUGUACGGAACGAAAAGCUUUGGGUUAAUACCCUGGAGUCAUGACGGUACCGUAAGAAUAAGCACCGGCUAACUACGUGCCAGCAGCCGCGGUAAUACGUAGGGUGCAAGCGUUAAUCGGAAUUACUGGGCGUAAAGCGUGCGCAGGCGGUUUUGUAAGACAGAGGUGAAAUCCCCGGGCUCAACCUGGGAACUGCCUUUGUGACUGCAAGGCUAGAGUACGGCAGAGGGGGGUGGAAUUCCGCGUGUAGCAGUGAAAUGCGUAGAUAUGCGGAGGAACACCGAUGGCGAAGGCAACCCCCUGGGCCUGUACUGACGCUCAUGCA
This 728-nucleotide ribosomal RNA is filed under the name Pseudomonas sp. Its description in RNAcentral is "bacterial SSU rRNA". It matches the Rfam family "Bacterial small subunit ribosomal RNA", at positions 28 to 753 of the family's 1533-position model. Lineage: Bacteria; Pseudomonadati; Pseudomonadota; Gammaproteobacteria; Pseudomonadales; Pseudomonadaceae. The record is from RNAcentral.